GGCCCUAUCGUCUAAUGGUUAGGACGGCUUUCUUUCAAGAAGCAAAUAGGAGUUCGAUUCUCCUUGGGGCUGCCA
RNAcentral lists this transfer RNA (75 nucleotides) under Candidatus Yanofskyibacteriota bacterium. RNAcentral's name for it is "Candidatus Yanofskybacteria bacterium tRNA-Glu". It matches the Rfam family "tRNA". From Rfam's summary of the family: Transfer RNA (tRNA) molecules are approximately 80 nucleotides in length. Lineage: Bacteria; Candidatus Yanofskyibacteriota. The record is from RNAcentral.